Paramormyrops kingsleyae is the source of this 754-nucleotide long non-coding RNA. RefSeq lists it as uncharacterized. Lineage: Eukaryota; Metazoa; Chordata; Actinopteri; Osteoglossiformes; Mormyridae. The record is from RefSeq and is a predicted model, not a curated record.
UACGGGAAGCCAGGGAACACCCCAGGACCUGGGGGGCGGCUGAACAGGUCCAGCUUCCCGUUCAGCUCCAUCUUGUGGGAGUCCAUCUGCAUUUGCUGAGAGAGGCGAGAAGGACACAGACAUGGAGAGAUGGAGAGCUGUAUCCAGGGCCCCCUCACCUUCAUCUUCUGCUGAUGAUGGUAGAUCUGCCAGGCAAUCUGGACGUGGACGGCGCACCACUUCCCGGGCUUCUGGGAAAAGAAACAGACGCUGCUUCUUAACUCCACGCCACACCUCCGGAAACAUCUGCUACUACGUCACCAGGCACAGGAGUCCGUCUUCACAGGGGACACGCCGUCUGUUGCGGGCUGCGGGAAGUUCUUCGAGGGCACCCCAGAUGAAAUGUACCGGGCACUGAUCGAAAACCGUUUUAUUUCUUUUUUUUAAUCGUUAAGGUAUUUAGAGAGAAUGUCUACAGUUUUUCUAGUUAAAUAGCUCGUUAGAAGUUUUGAUCUUGUUAUUAGUAUACUUAUCCUGCUUUUCUUAAAUUGUAUAAUUAAUGUGAAAUAUGUAAUUAUUCAUAGUCUUGCAGUUAGCUAGAAAGAUAUUGAUUUUUCUGGAAUGAUUAUCCUUAGAAGUUUUGUACACAUCAAAGAGCAGUUUAACAAAUUAUAGUAUAAGAAAGAUGCCAAUUUGAUGUACUGUCUAUUGUCAUCAAUAAAACACUCAAACUACAGCCCUAAAAAAAAGAAUAAUAAAAAAAGGAAGACAUGCA